RNAcentral lists this ribosomal RNA (872 nucleotides) under Acinetobacter baumannii. RNAcentral's name for it is "bacterial SSU rRNA". It matches the Rfam family "Bacterial small subunit ribosomal RNA", at positions 21 to 887 of the family's 1533-position model. The record is from RNAcentral. Lineage: Bacteria; Pseudomonadati; Pseudomonadota; Gammaproteobacteria; Moraxellales; Moraxellaceae.
UGCUCAGAUUGAACGCUGGCGGCAGGCUUAACACAUGCAAGUCGAGCGGGGGAAGGUAGCUUGCUACUGGACCUAGCGGCGGACGGGUGAGUAAUGCUUAGGAAUCUGCCUAUUAGUGGGGGACAACAUCUCGAAAGGGAUGCUAAUACCGCAUACGUCCUACGGGAGAAAGCAGGGGAUCUUCGGACCUUGCGCUAAUAGAUGAGCCUAAGUCGGAUUAGCUAGUUGGUGGGGUAAAGGCCUACCAAGGCGACGAUCUGUAGCGGGUCUGAGAGGAUGAUCCGCCACACUGGGACUGAGACACGGCCCAGACUCCUACGGGAGGCAGCAGUGGGGAAUAUUGGACAAUGGGGGGAACCCUGAUCCAGCCAUGCCGCGUGUGUGAAGAAGGCCUUAUGGUUGUAAAGCACUUUAAGCGAGGAGGAGGCUACUUUAGUUAAUACCUAGAGAUAGUGGACGUUACUCGCAGAAUAAGCACCGGCUAACUCUGUGCCAGCAGCCGCGGUAAUACAGAGGGUGCGAGCGUUAAUCGGAUUUACUGGGCGUAAAGCGUGCGUAGGCGGCUUAUUAAGUCGGAUGUGAAAUCCCCGAGCUUAACUUGGGAAUUGCAUUCGAUACUGGUGAGCUAGAGUAUGGGAGAGGAUGGUAGAAUUCCAGGUGUAGCGGUGAAAUGCGUAGAGAUCUGGAGGAAUACCGAUGGCGAAGGCAGCCAUCUGGCCUAAUACUGACGCUGAGGUACGAAAGCAUGGGGAGCAAACAGGAUUAGAUACCCUGGUAGUCCAUGCCGUAAACGAUGUCUACUAGCCGUUGGGGCCUUUGAGGCUUUAGUGGCGCAGCUAACGCGAUAAGUAGACCGCCUGGGGAGUACGGUC